RNAcentral lists this ribosomal RNA (407 nucleotides) under uncultured bacterium. RNAcentral describes it as "partial 16S ribosomal RNA". It matches the Rfam family "Bacterial small subunit ribosomal RNA", at positions 360 to 774 of the family's 1533-position model. The record is from RNAcentral.
AAUAUUGCGCAAUGGAGGUAACUCUGACGCAGCGACGCCGCGUGAUCGAUGAAGGUCUUCGGAUCGUAAAGCUCUGUUCUGGGGGAAGAAGGUCUUCGGACUUGACGGUACCUAAGGAGGAAGCCCCGGCUAACUACGUGCCAGCAGCCGCGGUAAUACGUAGGGGGCAAGCGUUGUCCGGAAUUAUUGGGCGUAAAGGGUGCGUAGGCGGCCUUUUAAGUCAGAUGUGAAAGCCCACGGCUUAACCGUGGGACUGCAUUUGAAACUGGAGGGCUUGAGUAUCGGAGAGGGUAGUGGAAUUCCCAGUGUAGCGGUGGAAUGCGUAGAUAUUGGGAGGAACACCAGUGGCGAAGGCGACUUACUGGUCUGUGAUUGACGCUGAGGCUCGAAAGCGUGGGUAGCGAACA